This 70-nucleotide transfer RNA is filed under the name Dipodomys ordii (Ord's kangaroo rat). It matches the Rfam family "tRNA". From Rfam's summary of the family: Transfer RNA (tRNA) molecules are approximately 80 nucleotides in length. Their secondary structure includes four short double-helical elements and three loops (D, anti-codon, and T loops). Further hydrogen bonds mediate the characteristic L-shaped molecular structure. tRNAs have two regions of fundamental functional importance: the anti-codon, which is responsible for specific mRNA codon recognition, and the 3' end, to which the tRNAs corresponding amino acid is attached (by aminoacyl-tRNA synthetases). tRNAs cope with the degeneracy of the genetic code in two manners: having more than one tRNA (with a specific anti-codon) for a particular amino acid; and 'wobble' base-pairing, i.e. permitting non-standard base-pairing at the 3rd anti-codon position. The record is from Rfam by way of RNAcentral. Lineage: Eukaryota; Metazoa; Chordata; Mammalia; Rodentia; Heteromyidae.
GGGAACAUGGCUUAGUGGUAAAGUGCUUGCCUAGUAUGCAUGAGGCCCUAGGUUUGACUCCUUGGUACCA